Molecule: ribosomal RNA, 485 nt
Filed under: uncultured bacterium
Lineage: Bacteria
Description: partial 16S ribosomal RNA
Rfam family: Bacterial small subunit ribosomal RNA
Source: RNAcentral
GAUUGAACGCUGGCGGCAGGCCUAACACAUGCAAGUCGAGCGGAUGAAGGGAGCUUGCUCCUGGAUUCAGCGGCGGACGGGUGAGUAAUGCCUAGGAAUCUGCCUGGUAGUGGGGGAUAACGUCCGGAAACGGGCGCUAAUACCGCAUACGUCCGGAGGGAGAAGGUGGGGGAUCUUCGGACCUCACGCUAUCGGAUGAGCCUAGGUCGGAUUAGCUAGUUGGUGGGGUAAAGGCCUACCAAGGCGACGAUCCGUAACUGGUCUGAGAGGAUGAUCAGUCACACUGGAACUGAGACACGGUCCAGACUCCUACGGGAGGCAGCAGUGGGGAAUAUUGGACAAUGGGCGAAAGCCUGAUCCAGCCAUGCCGCGUGUGUGAAGAAGGUCUUCGGAUUGUAGAGCACUUUAAGUUGGGAGGAAGGGCAGUAAGUUAAUACCUUGCUGUUUUGACGUUACCAACAGAAUAAGCACCGGCUAACUUCGUG